UACGGGGGGGGCAAGCGUUGUUCGGAAUUACUGGGCGUAAAGGGCUCGUAGGUGGCCAACUAAGUCGGACGUGAGAUCCCUCGGCUUAACCGGGGAACUGCGUCCGAUACUGGAUGGCUUGAGUUUGGGAGAGGGGUGCGGAAUUCCAGGUGUAGCGGUGAAAUGCGUAGAUAUCUGGAGGAACACCGGUGGCGAAGGCGGCAUCCUGGACCAACACUGACACUGAGGAGCGAAAGCCAGGGGAGCAAACGGG
RNAcentral lists this ribosomal RNA (253 nucleotides) under uncultured bacterium. Its description in RNAcentral is "partial 16S ribosomal RNA". It matches the Rfam family "Bacterial small subunit ribosomal RNA", at positions 524 to 776 of the family's 1533-position model. The record is from RNAcentral.